GAUGAACGCUGGCGGCGUGCCUAAUACAUGCAAGUCGAGCGAACGGACGAGAAGCUUGCUUCUCUGAUGUUAGCGGCGGACGGGUGAGUAACACGUGGAUAACCUACCUAUAAGACUGGGAUAACUUCGGGAAACCGGAUCUAAUACCGGAUGAUAUUUUGAACCGCAUGGUUCAAAAGUGAAAGACGGUCUUGCUGUCACUUAUAGAUGGAUCCGCGCUGCAUUAGCUAGUUGGUAAGGUAACGGCUUACCAAGGCAACGAUGCAUAGCCGACCUGAGAGAGUGAUCGGCCACACUGGAACUGAGACACGGUCCAGACUCCUACGGGAGGCAGCAGUAGGGAAUCUUCCGCAAUGGGCGAAAGCCUGACGGAGCAACGCCGCGUGAGUGAUGAAGGUCUUCGGAUCGUAAAACUCUGUUAUUAGAGAAGAACAUAUGUGUAAGUAACUGUGCACAUCUUGACGGUACCUAAUCAGAAAGCCACGGCUAACUACGUG
This 497-nucleotide ribosomal RNA is filed under the name uncultured bacterium. RNAcentral's name for it is "partial 16S ribosomal RNA". It matches the Rfam family "Bacterial small subunit ribosomal RNA", at positions 28 to 507 of the family's 1533-position model. The record is from RNAcentral.